GGGGGUUUAGCUCAGUUGGUAGAGCGUCUGAUUUGCAUUCAGAAGGUCAGGAGUUCGAAUCUCCUAGCCUCCA
This 73-nucleotide transfer RNA is filed under the name Neochlamydia sp. S13. It matches the Rfam family "tRNA". Rfam says of the family: Transfer RNA (tRNA) molecules are approximately 80 nucleotides in length. Their secondary structure includes four short double-helical elements and three loops (D, anti-codon, and T loops). Further hydrogen bonds mediate the characteristic L-shaped molecular structure. tRNAs have two regions of fundamental functional importance: the anti-codon, which is responsible for specific mRNA codon recognition, and the 3' end, to which the tRNAs corresponding amino acid is attached (by aminoacyl-tRNA synthetases). tRNAs cope with the degeneracy of the genetic code in two manners: having more than one tRNA (with a specific anti-codon) for a particular amino acid; and 'wobble' base-pairing, i.e. permitting non-standard base-pairing at the 3rd anti-codon position. Lineage: Bacteria; Pseudomonadati; Chlamydiota; Chlamydiia; Parachlamydiales; Parachlamydiaceae. The record is from Rfam by way of RNAcentral.